GACCUGACUGCUAUCGGAUUGAUACUAAGCCAUGCGAGUCAUUGUAGCAAUACAAGGCAGACGGCUCAGUAACGCGUAGUCAACCUACCCUAUGGACGGGGAUAACCUCGGGAAACUGAGAAUAAUACCCGAUAGAACAUUAUACCUGGAAUGGUUUAUGUUUCAAAUAAUUUAUAGCCGUAGGAUGGGACUGCGGCCUAUCAGUUUGUUGGUGAGGUAAUGGCCCACCAAGACUAUUACAGGUACGGGCUCUGAGAGGAGUAGCCCGGAGAUGGGUACUGAGACACGGACCCAGGCCCUAUGGGGCGCAGCAGGCGAGAAAACUUUGCAAUGUGCGAAAGCACGACAAGGUUAAUCCGAGUGGUUUCUGCUAAAGGAACCUUUUGUCAGUCCUAGAAACACUGAUGAAUAAGGGGUGGGCAAGUUCUGGUGUCAGCCGCCGCGGUAAAACCAGCACCUCAAGUGGUCAGGAUGAUUAUUGGGCCUAAAGCAUCCGUAGCCUGCUUUGUUAGUUUUCGGUUAAAUUCAUACGCUUAACGUAUGGGCUGCCGGAAAUACUGCAAAGCUAGGGAGUGGGAGAGGUAGACGGUACUCGGUAGGAAGGGGUAAAAUCCUUUGAUCUAUUGAUGACCACCUGUGGCGAAGGCGGUCUACCAGAACACGUCCGACGGUGAGGGAUGAAAGCUGGGGGAGCAAACCGGAUUAGAUACCCGGGUAGUCCCAGCUGUAAACUAUGCAAACUCGGUGAUGCAUUGGCUUGAUGCCAAUGCAGUGCCGCAGGGAAGCCGUUAAGUUUGCCGCCUGGGAAGUACGUACGCAAGUAUGAAACUUAAAGGAAUUGGCGGGGGAGCACCACAAGGGGUGAAGCCUGCGGUUCAAUUGGAGUCAACGCCAGAAAUCUUACCCGGAGAAACAGCAGAAUGAAGGUCAAGCUGAAGACUUUACCAGACAAGCUGAGAGGUGGUGCAUGGCCGUCGCCAGCUCGUGCCGUGAGAUGUCCUGUUAAGUCAGGUAACGAGCGAGAUCCCUGCCUCUAGUUGCCACCAUUACUCUCAGGAGUAGUGGGGCGAAUUAGCGGGACCGCCGUAGUUAAUACGGAGGAAGGAAGGGGCCACGGCAGGUCAGUAUGCCCCGAAACUCUGGGGCCACACGCGGGCUGCAAUGGUAACGACAAUGUGUUCCGAAUCCGAAAGGAGGAGGUAUCCAG
RNAcentral lists this ribosomal RNA (1207 nucleotides) under uncultured archaeon. RNAcentral describes it as "bacterial SSU rRNA". It matches the Rfam family "Archaeal small subunit ribosomal RNA", at positions 20 to 1231 of the family's 1478-position model. The record is from RNAcentral.